This is a small nuclear RNA of Artibeus jamaicensis (Jamaican fruit-eating bat), 103 nucleotides long. The record is from RefSeq and is a predicted model, not a curated record. NCBI's taxonomy places the organism in Eukaryota, Metazoa, Chordata, Mammalia, Chiroptera, Phyllostomidae.
GUGCUCACUUUGGCAACACAUAUGCUGAAAUUGGAAUAAUACAGAGCAGAUUAGCUUACCCCACACAAGGAUGACACAAAUUUGUGAAGCAUUCCAUAUUUUU